UCCCCGGUGGCUCAGGAGGUAAAGCGUCUGCCUGCAAUGCGGGAGACCCGGGUUCCAUCCCUGGGUUGGGAA
This 72-nucleotide transfer RNA is filed under the name Bos taurus (domestic cattle). It matches the Rfam family "tRNA". Rfam says of the family: Transfer RNA (tRNA) molecules are approximately 80 nucleotides in length. RNAcentral also lists the same sequence under 3 other names. Lineage: Eukaryota; Metazoa; Chordata; Mammalia; Artiodactyla; Bovidae. The record is from Rfam by way of RNAcentral.